This 104-nucleotide microRNA precursor is filed under the name Marmota monax (woodchuck). Lineage: Eukaryota; Metazoa; Chordata; Mammalia; Rodentia; Sciuridae. The record is from RNAcentral.
AGUGGAACUGCUGGAUCAUAUGGUGAGUCUAUUUUCAAUUUUUUUGAGGAACUGCCAUGCUUUUUUUCACAGUGGCCACAUCACUUUACUUUCCUACCAGCAGU